This 484-nucleotide ribosomal RNA is filed under the name uncultured bacterium. Its description in RNAcentral is "partial 16S ribosomal RNA". It matches the Rfam family "Bacterial small subunit ribosomal RNA", at positions 30 to 507 of the family's 1533-position model. The record is from RNAcentral.
AUUGAACGCUGGCGGCAGGCCUAACACAUGCAAGUCGAGCGGAUGAAGGGAGCUUGCUCCUGGAUUCAGCGGCGGACGGGUGAGUAAUUCCUAGGAAUCUGCCUGGUAUUGGGGGAUAACGUCCGUAAACGGGCGCUAAUACCGCAUACGUCCUGAGGGAGAAAGUGGGGGAUCUUCGGACCUCACGCUAUCAGAUGAGCCUAGGUCGUAUUAGCUAGUUGGUGGGGUAAAGGCCUACCAAGGCGACGAUCCGUAACUGGUCUGAGAGGAUGAUCAGUCACACUGGAACUGAGACACGGUCCAGACUCCUACGGGAGGCAGCAGUGGGGAAUAUUGGACAAUGGGCGAAAGCCUGACCCAGCAAUGCCGCGUGUGUGAAGAAGGUCUUCGGAUUGUAAAGCACUUUAAGUUGGGAGGAAGGGCAGUAAGUUAAUACCUUGCUGUUUUGACGUUACCAACAGAAUAAGCACCGGCUAACUUCGUG